RNAcentral lists this long non-coding RNA (1809 nucleotides) under Homo sapiens (human). RNAcentral describes it as "HSALNT0206631". The record is from RNAcentral. Lineage: Eukaryota; Metazoa; Chordata; Mammalia; Primates; Hominidae.
AUUUCAAAUACUUUUUUUUUCUAAAGCACAUUGUCCAAUAUUGUUAGGAAAAAUAAGUCAUGAAAUUGAUUUUUGUUAUGUUUCCUUCCAAUCAUUAUGAAAAGCCAUUGACUGUAAGCUAAAAAUGGAAAAGAAAGAAGAAAAGAACCAAAGCCUGGCACUCAAAAUGAAAGGAUGGAGACAUUAACCAUUUAUGAGCCUGACUUUUUUUUUUUAUUUUAAAGAGCAAGUGAAUUAAUAUUUUGUGUUGAACUCAAUUUUCAACUAGAUUUUCAAAGAAGCACUGAAUGCUCCUCUUUUAUGUUUAGGAAAAACUUGUGUUUUUAACAACUAACUCCAUUUCUGGGAGACUGAAGCUCUUACACAUUUUACAAAUUAUUUUCUUGGCUACAGCAAACAAGCUCACCCCUGGAGCACCUCCUGAUGCCCCAGAGACAGGGCUUCUCAGACUGCAGGACAGACUCCUGGGACUCUCCUGGUGAUCUUUUUCGAAUGCAGAUUGAUGCCACUACUUGCUUGAGAGAGAGAGAGACAGACAGACAGCGAGAGGGAGAGAGAGAAGACAAUAAUGUUCAAUAUAUAUAUGGUCAUACCCGGAGCCCUAAACAAGACUUUCGAAAAGAUACUCUGCAGUAAACUUGCAUUACAUUUGCAAACAGAAAAAAAUAUUAUUUUGGAGAAAAGGAUCUAAGUGCUUCAUGUAAUGGCUAUAUUCAGAUAUAUUUGUCUUUUCUGAGAAGAAAGCCAGCAGUCCACUCAGAUAAUAUCAAGAAGCUGAAACCCACCAAAUCACUGCAUCUGGACAAUGAGAUGCCAGACUCCUCACAGUCAUGGUCAUAAUUGCUUAACUGACCACUUGCUUCCUGUUGACCAACUCCUCUUCCUUACCGCUCCCUAAUUCCUGUUUUCCCACACAAGGUUACAUUUCUUCCCUGCUACAUAAACCCCUAAUUUCAGUCAGUCAGGAAGAUGGAUUUGAGGCUGAUCUCCCAUCUCCUCAGCUGCAGCACCCAAUAAAGCCUUUGUCCUUAGCAACACUUGCUGUCUCAGUGAUUGGCUUUCUGUGCAGCAAGCUGCAGAAUCUAGAGUGAACCGCUGGUGUUUUUGGUAACAAAGAAAACUCCUGCCUUCAAAUUCCCUGGGGAUCUCAUUGGAAAGAUAGGAAAAUAGGCGCUUUUCAGAAUAUUGUGGAACAAUAAUGCAAUCACAGGGUAUAAAGGGUCCUUAUAGAAAUUGAAAGUAACUCCAGACUGAGGGGUUAAGGACAGACAAGCUGGAGAAGAAGCUGUUGUCUGCUCUGAGAUUCAGCAUAAGAAUCCCACCACUUGUUAUAUCAUAAUAACCAGUAUCUCUUACCUGAAUUUGGCAGUUGCUUUACUCCACCAUUUUCUAAACUACCUGACCCAUUUUUCACCUACAUGACAUUUGAUGCUUAAAAGGAUUACCUUGAAUGGACAAAUACAGCCCCUUAAGAGUGACCACUUUGCAUCUGCCCUGCAGUGACCUGCCUUCAUCUCCAGGGAAGGAGUUGAGAUUCAGUUAGCAGCAAUAAAAAUCUCUAGAUGCUCUUUUUCUUUGGAUACACUACUUAGCAUAUCUGAACCUCAGCCUACCAAAUGGACCUUCAGUAGUACCCAGCCCAUUAUAAAUAUUUUUUUUGAAUUUAAUAUAGUAUAAAGAUGAGGGAAGGUUCUGAAAAAAUAUAUUUUUUAAAAAAAUAGUCAAAUAAGGAUAUUUCAUACAUAAAGGUGAUUUCUCCAUAUUCAGUGUAAAAUUAUCAUUUAUAAACUUUAUUUGUUAAUAUUAAUU